RNAcentral lists this ribosomal RNA (484 nucleotides) under uncultured bacterium. RNAcentral's name for it is "partial 16S ribosomal RNA". It matches the Rfam family "Bacterial small subunit ribosomal RNA", at positions 29 to 507 of the family's 1533-position model. The record is from RNAcentral.
AUUGAACGCUGGCGGCAUGCCUUACACAUGCAAGUCGAACGGCAGCACGGGGGUAACUCUGGUGGUGAGUGGCGAACGGGUGAGUAAUACCUAGGAAUGUGUCUUGUAGUGGGGGAUAGCGCGCCGAAAGCCGGACUAAUACCGCAUACGUCCUACGGAGGAAAGGGGGGGAUCUUAGGACCUCCCGCUAUCGGGGCGGCCGAUGGCAGAUUAGCUAGUUGGUGGGGUAAAGGCCUACCAAGGCGACGAUCCGUAGCUGGUCUGAGAGGACGACCAGCCACACUGGGACUGAGACACGGCCCAGACUCCUACGGGAGGCAGCAGUGGGGAAUUUUGGACAAUGGGCGCAACCCUGAUCCAGCAAUGCCGCGUGUGUGAAGAAGGCCUUCGGGUUGUAAAGCACUUUUGGCCGGAAAGAAAACGCCGUGGUUAAUACCCGUGGCGGAUGACGGUACCGGAAGAAUAAGCACCGGCUAACUACGUG